Long non-coding RNA from Pygocentrus nattereri (red-bellied piranha), 2160 nucleotides. The record is from Ensembl. NCBI's taxonomy places the organism in Eukaryota, Metazoa, Chordata, Actinopteri, Characiformes, Serrasalmidae.
CAAAAACAACGAAGCUGAUGAGAUAAAAUAUAUAAAAUUUUGACUUUGUACUGUUUUUGGUGAAGGUCAAAGUGGAUGUAUAAAUCACUGCUUUCUGUUUUUAUUCACAUUUUACAUUCUGUUCUAACUUUUCUGGAAUUGGGUUUGUAUAUUUGGUCCAGAGCAACAACAUAAUUGGUCAAUCACUUAUUACAGUCUCCUCUCCUCAUCUGUGACGGUGUGACCACAGUUACCCUCACUGUGGAUCACUCUGCGCUUCUUUAAAGAUGUUUCGCUGAAACUAAACAAAAUCAGUCUUUUCACUGUUUUAGGCUGCAUUUCCUUUUUUUCCCUGUCUGCUAUAGCACUGCUUCCUGAAGUCAGGGAUGAUCACGACGGGUCCACCUUUUGUAUGUUGCGCUCCAUCCAACCGAACUUGUGGAAUGGAGAAUGGAAUUGCUAUGAGGAAGAUGCCCGUCACAUAUGUGUGUGAUCAGGAGGGUUCUGCAGUGAGUUUGACGAGUGAGGACGGUGGGUUGCUGUGUACAUCAUGUGUGAAACGACGCCUUGGCGCACUCUCAGCUCUGCUGACCGUUCCCUCAUCCACAUCUUAGGGAGGUUCUCCUUUCGAGUCUUGGUUCCUCUCAGUGGUUCUUCCUCAUCUUCUUAGGGAUUUUCUCCUUUCGAGUCUUGGUUCCUCUCCGUGGUUUUCUCCUUUUGAGUCUUGGUUCCUCUCAGUGGUUCUUCCUCAUCUUCUUAGGGAUUUUCUCCUUUCGAGUCUUGGUUCCUCUCCGUGGUUUUCUCCUUUUGAGUCUUGGUUCCUCUCAGUGGUUCUUUCUCAUGCUCUUAGGAACCAAGACUGCAAAGGAGAAACUCCCUCUGAGUGGUUCUUCCUUAAUGCUCUUAAGGAGGUUCUCUUUUUGAGUCUUGGUUCCUGUCAGAACCUCUAAGUGUGCACACCUCUGGUCCUGGGUUGGCUCAUCUGUUAAUUGCCAGAUUGUACAGGAACAGCUAAGCUGUGCAUUUUAAAUUAAAGAUCUAAUAAAAAUCUAACACAGACCCAUGAGAUGACUGGUGUAUCUUAUGAUGUACUUCAUGCUGAUAAUUUCCAGAUGUUUGUGUUAUUAUCCUGAACAGCUGCACAGCUCUUGCGUUACCUUCUUUAUUCAUAACCAGUGCCAGAAAAAGAAAUCUGCUUGUAUGUUUUAUUUCUUUUACAUUUUUUAAAUCAUAUUUUGAAUAUUAGGACAAUUCCCAAAUAUUAUAAACUUUAAACAGUUAAAUAUCUCUCAGUAGUUUUCACUGGUCGUCGCGCCCGUUUGCCUGUUUUUCUUUUAAAAGGAAGCCCACAGGAAACAUCACAUUCACAGCCUUUUCACUGUAUAAUCUCUGAAAUCUGCACAGAAUCAUAAAUUGUUGCCGACAGGAGUAAAUGCAUUCCUGCAGAUGCAUAUUUAAGUUAGUGACGUUCCAAAUACAGUAACUUCAGUUUUCCCUACAAUAAGACCAAAUGAUGACCUGAAUAUUACAGCUCAACACUUUUUAACUCUGACCUGAUCUGUCCAGGGUUCAUGGUGUAUCUCUAAUAGACUAGAGUUCCCAAAUCACAGCCGUUUACCUCCAAAACUGACACAAUCCUGUACUGAUGGGUGACCAUGACCUGCAGGUGGACUUCAACAUGACCUGAAGUAACAGGCACUCACAAUAAAACAUGCCCAACUUAUUUUAACCUCUUCAAAUUUCAGGCUUUUUACAUACUAAGGCUUAUUAUUCAGUAACUGCAGGGACAUCAGUGCAAACUGGCUGAGCUGCUGUUGGAUUGAAGUGUGUAAUAAAAGGGUGGGCCUGGCAUGUUAAGGGUUAAGUUUAAUGAAUAGCUGCCUUUUUAUUUUAACACCGUAAGAAGAAAGUAGUAAACACAGCACCUGUUUAGCUGGAUUAGUAGGCCAGACAGAUUUUAGUGUAUAGGAACGUUUAUGUAGGUAAUUAAUACACUAACAUCACGUAGUAGGAAUGUAGGAACAUUUACUGAGGUCGUUUAUAGACGAUCUCCUGUUCUAGGUCAUACAACCCCAAUUCCAGUGAAGAAAAGCCACACAUUUUCAAUGGGAGACGGUCUGGACUGCAGGCAGGCCAGUCUAGUACCCGCACUCUUUUACUACGAAGCCACGCUGUUGUAAC